AGCGAACGCUGGCGGCAGGCUUAACACAUGCCAGUCGAGCGGGCACUUCGGUGUCAGCGGCAGACGGGUGAGUAACACGUGGGAACGUACCCUUCGGUUCGGAAUAACGCUGGGAAACUAGCGCUAAUACCGGAUACGCCCUUUUGGGGAAAGGUUUACUGCCGAAGGAUCGGCCCGCGUCUGAUUAGCUAGUUGGUGGGGUAAUGGCCUACCAAGGCGACGAUCAGUAGCUGGUCUGAGAGGAUGAUCAGCCACACUGGGACUGAGACACGGCCCAGACUCCUACGGGAGGCAGCAGUAGGGAAUAUUGGACAAUGGGCGCAAGCCUGAUCCAGCCAUGCCGCGUGAGUGAUGAAGGCCUUAGGGUUGAAAAGCUCUUUUGUCCGGGACGAUAAUGACGGUACCGGAAGAAUAAGCCCCGGCUAACUUCGUG
RNAcentral lists this ribosomal RNA (433 nucleotides) under uncultured bacterium. RNAcentral's name for it is "partial 16S ribosomal RNA". It matches the Rfam family "Bacterial small subunit ribosomal RNA", at positions 29 to 507 of the family's 1533-position model. The record is from RNAcentral.